ACGUGACUUCACGCUCGAGCCGGAAAAGAAGACAAUGCUGAAUAAAGUUGUAAUUCUUGCUAUUUUUGGACCAAACUGUAUUCUCGAUGCUUUAACACAUUCUUACUGACCAACUGAUGUCACAUGGACUACUUUGAUGAUGUUUUUAUUACCUUUCUGGACAUGGAAACCGUACAUAGAUUUUAAAUGGAGGAGACAUAAAGCUCUCGGACUAAAUCUAACGUUAAAACAUCCUAAACUGUUUUCCGAAGAUGAACGGAGGUCUUUUGAGUUUAGAACGACAUAAGGGUAAGUCAUUACUUACAUUAUUUUCAUUUUUGGGCAAACUAUCCUUAUUUAGUAGUCACGCUGUUCCCUUUGCGGGCGGGGAGACACCCCUCGCUGCAGCCUGCAGCGCGAUGACGUAGUGGAUUAAUCCAAUACGUAGUGGAUGUUCAAACACGCAUGCGCAGUGAAUAUAAUGUUACGCGCAUGCGCGGUGCUGUGUUGUUGUUGAUGAACAAUCGCACGUGCUUUGGUAUUUCAAGAAGAAUCUGCCGAAAAACGAAGGAUUAUUUAACAACAGUGAUUGUAUAAAGAUUUGACUGGAUUCGGCAAGAUGCCCUUGCUCAUUAAAGAAGAUGGAGAUGUGGCUUUUAUCAGACUGUUGACAUGCCAGCUUUUUCACUAUGUUGUUAGUAAAGCAUCUUUCAGAGAAAAGGCUCAUGUAGUGUGGCUUGACAGUGUUGUCAACUGGAACACAUUCUCCGGGGUGUAGAGAUUUAUUUACAGACUGUCCACCAGGUCGAGUUGGAGGAAGGGUGUCCCAGGGAUGAAUUGUUCAUCUAUUCUGCAUCAGUAAAGCAGUGGUGGCGUGGCACUGACUUUAAACUAUUUAAGAUCAAACUGUGACAAAAGCUUUACCUGUGCUGACUGCAGUCAGUUAUAUGUGACCCUGCCUGUGAAAAAACAGUAUAAGUCUUGAAAUGCAAUUAUGAUACAAUGAGCAUCAAAGUGUUAUUUUCAUUACUUUCACAUUGAUUUUGACAUUUGACAUGAUUUUACUCAGUCAACCCCACACACCCAGCCAACUUUUUCUUUGAACUUUUGCCCUUUGGCCGGCGCUACAAAGCACUGAACACUAUAAACAACAAUAUGUUCUCAGGUUAUAUACCUAAACAAUUAAAGCACCCAUAACUUCCACACCUGUCAUAACUGUAUAUUGUUUAUAAUCACCACAUACUGUACAUCUGAAACUACCAUUCUAAACUAUGCUACUGUAAAUAUCACCUAUUAUCUAUCUGUACAACAACAGCAUCUGAACAUCCAUACAGGCAUCACUACACACAAUUGUAAAAAAGGAGAAUAUAUAUAUAAAUAUAUAUAUAUAUAUAUAUAUAUAUAUAUAUAUAUAUACAUAUACUUAUAUAUACUUACUGUACCAUGCUGCUUAUUUAAAUUAUUUUUGUUUUUAUAUUACUAGUGUGUUAUUGUCUUUAAUUUAACUUAGUCAUUCUAUUUAUGUCCGUAACAUGUCACCAAGACAAAUUCCUUGUAUCCCAGCUAACA
Long non-coding RNA from Misgurnus anguillicaudatus (oriental weatherfish), 1548 nucleotides. RefSeq lists it as uncharacterized. NCBI's taxonomy places the organism in Eukaryota, Metazoa, Chordata, Actinopteri, Cypriniformes, Cobitidae. The record is from RefSeq and is a predicted model, not a curated record.